GCAAACUUGGUCAUUUAGAGGAAGUAAAAGUCGUAACAAGGUUUCCGUAGGUGAACCUGCGGAAGGAUCAUUAUUGAAUUUAAUGUAGAGUUGGUUGUAGCUGGCCUGAAUUAAUUUUCUGGGCAUUGUGCACGCCUUCUCUUUCAUCCACACACACCUGUGCACCUGUGAGACAGCAAGGGGGAUUUUUUUGAAAAAAUUAGGAACCCUUCUGUCUACUUAAUUCCACACAAACUCAAUUUAUUUUAAAACGAAUGUAAUUGAUGUAACGCAUCUAAUACUAAGUUUCAACAACGGAUCUCUUGGCUCUCGCAUCGAUGAAGAACGCAGC
Molecule: unclassified non-coding RNA, 331 nt
Filed under: uncultured fungus
Lineage: Eukaryota; Fungi
Description: partial contains small subunit ribosomal RNA, internal transcribed spacer 1, and 5.8S ribosomal RNA
Rfam family: Eukaryotic small subunit ribosomal RNA (bases 1-73)
Source: RNAcentral